This 497-nucleotide ribosomal RNA is filed under the name uncultured bacterium. RNAcentral's name for it is "bacterial SSU rRNA". It matches the Rfam family "Bacterial small subunit ribosomal RNA", at positions 28 to 511 of the family's 1533-position model. The record is from RNAcentral.
GAUGAACGCUAGCUACAGGCUUAACACAUGCAAGUCGAGGGGAAACGAUAUUGGAAGCUUGCUUCUGAUAGGCGUCGACCGGCGCACGGGUGAGUAACGCGUAUCCAACCUGCCCAUCACUUGGGGAUAACCUUGCGAAAGUAAGACUAAUACCCAAUGAUAUCUCUAGAAGACAUCUGAAAGAGAUUAAAGAUUUAUCGGUGAUGGAUGGGGAUGCGUCUGAUUAGCUUGUUGGCGGGGUAACGGCCCACCAAGGCGACGAUCAGUAGGGGUUCUGAGAGGAAGGUCCCCCACAUUGGAACUGAGACACGGUCCAAAACUCCUACGGGAGGCAGCAGUGAGGAAUAUUGGUCAAUGGACGAGAGUCUGAACCAGCCAAGUAGCGUGCAGGAUGACGGCCCUAUGGGUUGUAAACUGCUUUUAUAAGGGAAUAAAGUGAGUCUCGUGAGACUUUUUGCAUGUACCUUAUGAAUAAGGACCGGCUAAUUCCGUGCCAG